GACGAACGCUGGCGGCGCGCCUAACACAUGCAAGUCGAACGAGAGAUGAGGAGCUUGCUCUUCAAAUCGAGUGGCGAACGGGUGAGUAACGCGUGAGGAACCUGCCUCAAAGAGGGGGACAACAGUUGGAAACGACUGCUAAUACCGCAUAAGCCCACGGCUCGGCAUCGAGCAGAGGGAAAAGGAGCAAUCCGCUUUGAGAUGGCCUCGCGUCCGAUUAGCUAGUUGGUGAGGUAACGGCCCACCAAGGCGACGAUCGGUAGCCGGACUGAGAGGUUGAACGGCCACAUUGGGACUGAGACACGGCCCAGACUCCUACGGGAGGCAGCAGUGGGGAAUAUUGCACAAUGGGGGAAACCCUGAUGCAGCGACGCCGCGUGGAGGAAGAAGGUCUUCGGAUUGUAAACUCCUGUUGUUGAGGAAGAUAAUGACGGUACUCAACAAGGAAGUGACGGCUAACUACGUG
Molecule: ribosomal RNA, 466 nt
Filed under: uncultured bacterium
Lineage: Bacteria
Description: bacterial SSU rRNA
Rfam family: Bacterial small subunit ribosomal RNA
Source: RNAcentral